This 516-nucleotide long non-coding RNA is filed under the name Octopus sinensis (East Asian common octopus). RNAcentral's name for it is "uncharacterized LOC118762414, transcript variant X1". Lineage: Eukaryota; Metazoa; Mollusca; Cephalopoda; Octopoda; Octopodidae. The record is from RNAcentral.
UAUAUAUAUAUAUAUAUAUAUAUGUAUGUGUAUAUGUAUUUCUAUAUAUGUGGAUGUAUGUGCACAUACACAGUAAUGAAGACGAAAAGAAUGGAUAAUUUGUGUUACUACUCACGUUUUAGUUGCAAAAUUUAUUAUUAAAACAAUGCAUGUAACGACGCGCAUGAUCAGAUAACGUUAUGCAAUAAUGAACGUGUUUUUCAUAAACUGCCACGUCUUCAGGUGAUACUUCAUUAGAAGUUCAUUAGGCGAUAUGCCAACGAAGGGAGAAUGGUGGUAUAUGAAAUUUCAAGUGAAAGAGAAUUAGAUAUACAGAUUUAUUCAUUUGGAGCGGGGUGGGGUGAUUCAUAUAGAGUCAUGAAGGAGGCAAUCAAAAUCGUUAACUUCACAGCAUAAACAGAUUCAUUAGAUUCAGAACACACACACACACACACACACACACACACAACACACACACGAAACACAUAUAUACAUAUAUAUAUAUAUAUAUAUAUAAUAUAUAUAUAUAUAUAUAUA